Molecule: non-coding RNA, 763 nt
Filed under: Staphylinoidea sp. 5 KM-2017
Lineage: Eukaryota; Metazoa; Arthropoda; Insecta; Coleoptera
Source: RNAcentral
CAGGAGGAUGGGUUUACUUCGUCAAAAAUAACUUUAAAGUUUUAAUUUAGCUUAGGGGAUAAAUAUCUCUAAGACUUUCAUGUAAAUAUUUCUAGAGGACAGGCUUUCAGUAAAUAGAUCUAAAAAUUAAGGAAACUUAUAUUUGGCUAUAGAGUUCAACAUUAACAAAAUUUGUGCCAGCAGUUGCGGUUAGACAAUUAAUGUAUUUAUUUUUUUCAAGGUUACAAGGACAUGUAAAAUUUUUAAAAACUAAAGAUUUUAGGGUGGAAUCUUAUUCUAUUUGUAUGAUUAAUGUUUAUUGUAUUUGUUAAGAUUGAAUUAAACUAGGAUUAGAUACCCUAUUAUUAAAUGGUAAAUUGAGCUUAAUUAGUAGUAGUUAUUUUCUUGAAAAUUAAAAAUUUUGGCGGUGUUUUAGUCUUUUCAGAGGAACCUGUUCUUUAAUUGAUAUUCCACGAUUAAAUAUACUUGAGCUAUUAGUUUGUAUACCGUUGUAGUUGAAUUUCUUAGAAGAGGAGAAUGUUCAUGGUUAAUAAUUUUUAAUUAAAUCAGAUCAAGGUGCAGCUUAUGUUUAAGUAGAAAUGGGUUACAUUAAAUGGCUUUUUGGAUUAAAUCUUGAAAAAAUUUUUGAAAUUGGAUUUGAAAGUAAUUUUUCCUAUUUAGGAAAAAUGAGUGAGCUCUAAAACAUGUACAUAUCGCCCGUCGCUCUCUUUUAUGAGAUAAGUCGUAACAAAGUAAGUGUACUGGAAAGUGUACUUAGAAAGCA